UCAGAAAACCAGCUCUAGUUGGGAAGAAAUCAACAUAUGGCAACAUUUUCUUUAUUGAAUGUUUAUUAUGUUCUGGUGUGACCUUGUCAGUGCCUUUGACUAUACUGCGAUAGGUUAUAGAAAAAUGCUUUCAGGAAUAGCAAAUGUGACCUGACAUUAAUUUGCACAUACAGCACAUUAUUCAUACUGAAAAUAGCAUAAUUUUUGCCUGGGGAAAAAAUCAUACAGACUUUUUUAGUAGUAAGUUUCUAAAUAAAUAUUUAGUUUUUACUGACAGGUGUUUUUUUGUUGUGGUUUUUUGCUUUAAAUGUGUAAUUGGAAUCUAAGUUAACAGUAUUGCAAAAGAUCGAGUUUGGUUGAUCACCUCGCUGUUUUUAAUACAAUGGCCAUCAAGGACCUUAAAACACUUGGCAACAUUUAGUAAACUAAAGAGAACACCUUUGCGAGAUUGAGCAGGAUAACUUCUUUUUUUUUCUUUAUAGAGAAAAAGUGGCAUGAAAUCAUUUUUUCCUGUGGCCACAUAGAAAUAUCUAUCAGACCCAGGAAUAGAAUCUGCCUCCUGGUCUUGUACCAUAACCACAAACCUUCCUUAGAACAAGGGAAACUAAAAUAAGGGCAGGAGGAUUGGAGUCCAAAAAUAUCUCCUGUUUUGGUGGUCUGAGGGAGGUUAUUCCAUCGGGGAUAGGUUCCCAUGCUGUAACCAAUAUCUCUGCUGAUUCUCCCCUCCUUUACAUCCAUAACAAUAUGAGGACCUGGAUGUGUGCACACAACUCCAAGAUCAAGUCAAUGCAGAUUGUGAUUGUGCCCCCAAACUCCAGGGACCUGCACCAAAUGUGGUUUGUCUGGUAGGAUUUGGAGAUCCUCAGGUGAAAAGUUGAUGUGGAGUUCCACAAUGCUCAUCUGCGACCGCCCUGGAGAUCAUUCUCAACUCUUCUGCACCACAGCCAGGGUACACAGGAAACAGCUCCUCCCCUGCUAAAGCCCUGGCAAUUUUUGAUUUCCCAUUUCCUGUUUGAUCAGCAUUGAGAGCGUGCCAGCUUGAGCACAGCUGAUCAUGGAGAGCCUGGCCUGCACAGGAAGUGGAGGAUCUCAUCGCUUUGUGGGGAGAAGGGUCCGUGCAACAGAACUCUGAUCCAGCAGAAGGAACGCUGACAUCUAUGCAAAGAUCACUCAUGGAAUGGAAAAGACGGGCUGCAUGAGGGACACAUAGCAGUGCCAUGUGGAAAAUAAAAGAACUUCGCCAAGUGUACCAGAAGGCAAGGGAGGCGAACAGUCAUUCUGGUGCUGAACCCCACACAUGCCGGUUCUACAAUGAGCUGCAUGCGAUUCGUGGGGGUGACCCUACCAGUACCCCCACAAACAAUAUGCACACCUCCAGGUGUGUGAGUCUAGGGACAACAAGGAGGAUGAUAUGGUGGACGAGGAAGAGGAAGAGGAGAACGGGAGACAGGUGAAUGGUGGAUCUAUUCUCCCCGAGAGCCAGGAAAUAUUUUUAAUCCUGGAGCCCUGGGGGUUGCAGGACAUCACGGUGGCCGACCAUGAUGCUGGGGAAGGCACCUCUGCUGGAAAUGUGUCCUUCAGCAUGUUAUCAACACCUGAAAACAGACUUUUGCUAAUUAGGAGGGGGAGAAACAGAAUGCAGGAGGACAUGUUCACCAAGAUCAUGAAUGCCUCUGGGACAGUUGACACAGGGCUGAGAGCAUGGAGGAUUUCACUGUCUGAGAAGUUAGACAUGGACAUAGAGAGCAGGAAAGCUUCCCAUAAGCAUGAGUGUAUGGUGCAGGAUGAGAUGCUUUGGAUUAUGAGGGACAAAUCAGACACGUUGAGGUGUCUGGUUGAACUUCAGGAGCAGAAGCAGAAAGGUAGAGUCCCUCUGCAGACCCUGGUGCAGAGCCAGCCAGCAUUGCCUGACGCAGAAUCACCCUCCCCAAAGCAUGCCAUGAGGCAUGCGAGAAAAGUCCAUUAUCCCUUUCACUUAACUCAGGGGGUGGGUACAAGGAACAGAAGGUGCCCAUUCACAGACCUUUGAUGGUCUGGAAUGAGGUGUUAUAUUGUUCUUCUUACAGGUAAAAAUGUUUCUCCUGUUCCAAUUUUACAACCCCUUUUCCCCAAGCUAACUUU
Long non-coding RNA from Chelonia mydas (Green sea turtle), 2121 nucleotides. RefSeq lists it as uncharacterized. NCBI's taxonomy places the organism in Eukaryota, Metazoa, Chordata, Testudines, Cheloniidae. The record is from RefSeq and is a predicted model, not a curated record. The transcript has 5 exons.